RNAcentral lists this non-coding RNA (28 nucleotides) under Mus musculus (house mouse). The record is from RNAcentral. Lineage: Eukaryota; Metazoa; Chordata; Mammalia; Rodentia; Muridae.
UGGUACGCGCUACACAAUUGUUCAGCCA